This 253-nucleotide ribosomal RNA is filed under the name uncultured bacterium. RNAcentral describes it as "partial 16S ribosomal RNA". It matches the Rfam family "Bacterial small subunit ribosomal RNA", at positions 524 to 776 of the family's 1533-position model. The record is from RNAcentral.
UACAGAGGGUGCAAACGUUGCUCGGAAUCAUUGGGCGUAAAGCGCACGUAGGCGGUCUGAUAAGUCGGAUGUGAAAGCCCUGGGCUCAACCCAGGAAGUGCAUUCGAAACUGCCAGACUUGAAUAUGGAAGAGGGUCGCGGAAUUCCCGGUGUAGAGGUGAAAUUCGUAGAUAUCGGGAGGAACACCAGUGGCGAAGGCGGCGACCUGGGCCAAUAUUGACGCUGAGGUGCGAAAGCGUGGGGAGCAAACAGG